UAAGCGGAGGAAAGGAAACUAACAAGGAUUCCCCUAGUAACUGCGAGUGAAGCGGGAAAAGCUCAAAUUUAAAAUCUGGCGGUCUUUGGCCGUNCGAGUUGUAAUUUAGAGAAGCGUCUUCCGCGCUGGACCGUGCACAAGUCUCCUGGAAUGGAGCGUCAUAGAGGGUGAGAAUCCCGUCUUUGGCACGGAUGCCUGGUGCUUCUGUGAUGCGCUCUCGAAGAGUCGAGUUGUUUGGGAAUGCAGCUCAAAAUGGGUGGUGAACUCCAUCUAAAGCUAAAUAUUGGCGAGAGACCGAUAGCGAACAAGUACCGUGAGGGAAAGAUGAAAAGCACUUUGGAAAGAGAGUGAAACAGUACGUGAAAUUGUUGAAAGGGAAACGCUUGAAGUCAGUCGCGUCGACCGAGACUCAGCCUUGCCUUGGCUUGGUGUACUUCUCGGCCCGACGGGUCAGCAUCAAUUUUGCCCCUCGGAUAAUGGCAAGGGAAAGGUGGCACCUUUACGGGUGUGUUAUAGUCUCCUGUCGAAUGCGAGGGGUGGGAUUGAGGAACUCAGCGCGCACCUCAGUGUCGGGGCUUCGGCCCACGUCACGCGCUUAGGAUGCUGGCGUAAUGGCUUUAAACGACC
This 627-nucleotide ribosomal RNA is filed under the name uncultured Russulaceae. RNAcentral describes it as "LSU rRNA". It matches the Rfam family "Eukaryotic large subunit ribosomal RNA", at positions 47 to 649 of the family's 3401-position model. Lineage: Eukaryota; Fungi; Basidiomycota; Agaricomycetes; Russulales; Russulaceae. The record is from RNAcentral.